GGGGAAGCCAAGUCAGGGCAAGCAUUGUUGAAGAAUAUUUCAGCUGAAUUAUCACACAAACUGUGGACGACCACAACGGCAACCAGAUGCAGGGAGGCAACAUCAGGCCCCUUCUCAGCCCCCCUCCCCUUCUCACUCCCCCUCCCCUUCUCACUCCCCCUCCCCUUCUCACUCCCCCUCCCCUCCCCUUCUCA
Molecule: long non-coding RNA, 194 nt
Organism: Pseudophryne corroboree (corroboree frog)
Lineage: Eukaryota; Metazoa; Chordata; Amphibia; Anura; Myobatrachidae
Exons: 3
Source: RefSeq, a predicted model, not a curated record